RNAcentral lists this ribosomal RNA (440 nucleotides) under Sporosarcina ureilytica. RNAcentral's name for it is "16S ribosomal RNA". It matches the Rfam family "Bacterial small subunit ribosomal RNA", at positions 83 to 510 of the family's 1533-position model. The record is from RNAcentral. Lineage: Bacteria; Bacillati; Bacillota; Bacilli; Caryophanales; Caryophanaceae.
CUUCCUUUGUUAGCGGCGGAUGGGUGAGUAACACGUGGGCAACCUGCCCUGUAKUUGGGGAUAACUCCGGGAAACCGGGGCUAAUACCGAAUAAUUAKUUCCUUCSCAUGAAGGAACUCUGAAARACGGCUAUGCUGUCACUACGGGAUGGGCCCGCGGCGCAUUASCUAGUUGGUGAGGUAACGGCUUACCAAGGCGACRAUGCGUAGCCRACCUGAGAGGGUGAUCGGCCACACUGGGACUGARACACGGCCCARACUCCUACGGGAGGCAGCAGUAGGGAAUCUUCCACAAUGGACRAAAGUCUGAUGGASCAACGCCGCGUGAGCGAARAAGGUUUUCGRAUCGUAAAGCUCUGUUGUGAGGGAARAACAAGUAUAGGAGUAACUGCCUGUACCUUGACGGUACCUCAUUARAAAGCCACGGCUAACUACGUGCCA